Molecule: ribosomal RNA, 253 nt
Filed under: uncultured bacterium
Lineage: Bacteria
Description: partial 16S ribosomal RNA
Rfam family: Bacterial small subunit ribosomal RNA
Source: RNAcentral
UACGGAGGAUGCAAGCGUUAUCCGGAAUCAUUGGGUUUAAAGGGUCCGUAGGUGGACUUGUAAGUCAGAGGUGAAAUCCUGCAGCUUAACUGUAGAACUGCCUUUGAUACUGCUAGUCUUGAGUCAUUGUGAAGUGGUUAGAAUAUGUAGUGUAGCGGUGAAAUGCAUAGAUAUUACAUAGAAUACCGAUUGCGAAGGCAGAUCACUAACAAUGUACUGACACUGAUGGACGAAAGCGUGGGGAGCGAACGGG